GAGAAAUUAACUGUCUCUUAAUAAAUUUUAGAAUUUAACUUUUAAGUUAAAAGGCUUAAAUUUUUCUUUGGGACGAGAAGACCCUAUAGAGCUUGACAUUUAAGUUAGAUAUUUUUUUAAGAUUGUCUUUUUAUAUUUAAUGAUAAUGUUUUGUUGGGGUGACAUAAAGAAUUAAUAAACUCUUUAUUAUAAAAUCAUUAAUUUGUGUUUGUUUUGAUCCAUAAUUUAUGAUCAUAAGAUGAAGUUACCUUAGGGAUAACAGCGUAAUUGUUUUUGAGAGCUCAAAUUGACAAAGCAGAGUGCGACCUCGAUGUUGGAUUAAGAAAAAUUUUGAGUGCAGUAGCCCAAU
RNAcentral lists this ribosomal RNA (349 nucleotides) under Aeropedellus clavatus. RNAcentral describes it as "partial 16S ribosomal RNA". The record is from RNAcentral. Lineage: Eukaryota; Metazoa; Arthropoda; Insecta; Orthoptera; Acrididae.